This 547-nucleotide ribosomal RNA is filed under the name Bacillus sp. ZoB1. RNAcentral describes it as "bacterial SSU rRNA". It matches the Rfam family "Bacterial small subunit ribosomal RNA", at positions 339 to 878 of the family's 1533-position model. The record is from RNAcentral. Lineage: Bacteria; Bacillati; Bacillota; Bacilli; Caryophanales; Bacillaceae.
AUACGGGAGGCAGCAGUAGGGAAUCUUCGGCAAUGGGCGAAAGCCUGACCGAGCAACGCCGCGUGAGCGAUGAAGGCCUUCGGGUCGUAAAGCUCUGUUGUUAGAGAAGAACAAGUACGAGAGUAACUGCUCGUACCUUGACGGUUUUUAACCAGAAAGCCACGGCUAACUACGUGCCAGCAGCCGCGGUAAUACGUAGGUGGCAAGCGUUAUCCGGAAUUAUUGGGCGUAAAGCGCGCGCAGGCGGUCUCUUAAGUCUGAUGUGAAAGCCCACGGCUCAACCGUGGAGGGUCAUUGGAAACUGGGAGACUUGAGUGCAGGAGAGAAAAGUGGAAUUCCACGUGUAGCGGUGAAAUGCGUAGAGAUGUGGAGGAACACCAGUGGCGAAGGCGGCUUUUUUGGCCUGUAACUGACGCUGAGGCGCGAAAGCGUGGGGAGCAAACAGGAUUAGAUACCCUGGUAGUCCACGCCGUAAACGAUGAGUGCUAGGUGUUGGGGGGUUCCACCCUCAGUGCUGAAGUUAACACAUUAAGCACUCCGCCUGGGG